CAGCAGCCCGAGUGGUGAUCGUUUUUAUUGGGCCUAAAGCGUCCGUAGCCGGUCUAGUAAAUCCUUGGAUAAAUCGUGCAGCUUAACUGUACGGCUCCCGAGGAGACUGCUAGACUUGGGACUGGGAGAGGUCGGAGGUACUCCAGGGGUAGGGGUGAAAUCCUGUAAUCCUUGGGGGACCACCAGUGGCGAAGGCGUCCGACUAGAACGGGUCCGACGGUAAGGGACGAAGCCCUGGGGCGCGAACCGGAUUAGAUACCCGAGUAGUCC
This 270-nucleotide ribosomal RNA is filed under the name uncultured archaeon. RNAcentral's name for it is "partial 16S ribosomal RNA". It matches the Rfam family "Archaeal small subunit ribosomal RNA", at positions 477 to 747 of the family's 1478-position model. The record is from RNAcentral.